AUUUUGGACAAUGGGGGAAACCCUGAUCCAGCCAUCCCGCGUGUAUGAUGAAGGCCUUCGGGUUGUAAAGUACUUUUGGCAUUGAAGAGAAGGUAUCUCCUAAUACGAGAUACUGCUGACGGUAUCUGCAGAAUAAGCACCGGCUAACUACUUGCCAGCAGCCGCGGUAAUACGAAGGGUCCAAGCGUUAAUCGGAAUUACUGGGCUUAAAGCGUGUGUAGGCGAUUCGGAAAGAAAAGUGUGAAAUCCCAGGGCUCAACCUUGGAAUUGCAUUUUUAACUGACGAGCUGGAGUAUGUCAGAGGGGGGUAGAAUUCCACGUGUAGCAGUGAAAUGCGUAGAUAUGUGGAGAAAUACAGAUGGCAGAGGCAGCCCCCUGAGAUAAUACUGACGCUCAGACACGAAAGCGUGGGGAGCAAACA
RNAcentral lists this ribosomal RNA (421 nucleotides) under uncultured bacterium. Its description in RNAcentral is "partial 16S ribosomal RNA". It matches the Rfam family "Bacterial small subunit ribosomal RNA", at positions 361 to 774 of the family's 1533-position model. The record is from RNAcentral.